Molecule: ribosomal RNA, 490 nt
Filed under: uncultured bacterium
Lineage: Bacteria
Description: partial 16S ribosomal RNA
Rfam family: Bacterial small subunit ribosomal RNA
Source: RNAcentral
AUUGAACGCUGGCGGCAGGCCUAACACAUGCAAGUCGAACGGUAACAGGAAGAAGCUUGCUUCUUUGCUGACGAGUGGCGGACGGGUGAGUAAUGUCUGGGAAACUGCCUGAUGGAGGGGGAUAACUACUGGAAACGGUAGCUAAUACCGCAUAACGUCGCAAGACCAAAGAGGGGGACCUUCGGGCCUCUUGCCAUCGGAUGUGCCCAGAUGGGAUUAGCUAGUAGGUGGGGUAACGGCUCACCUAGGCGACGAUCCCUAGCUGGUCUGAGAGGAUGACCAGCCACACUGGAACUGAGACACGGUCCAGACUCCUACGGGAGGCAGCAGUGGGGAAUAUUGCACAAUGGGCGAAAGCCUGAUGCAGCCAUGCCGCGUGUAUGAAGAAGGCCUUCGGGUUGUAAAGUACUUUCAGCGGGGAGGAAGGGGGUAAAGUUAAUACCUGUGCUCAUUGACGUUACCCGCAGAAGAAGCACCGGCUAACUCCGUG